Molecule: RNA transcript, 2223 nt
Organism: Halichondria panicea
Lineage: Eukaryota; Metazoa; Porifera; Demospongiae; Suberitida; Halichondriidae
Gene name: upstream stimulatory factor 1-like
Exons: 3
Source: RefSeq, a predicted model, not a curated record
CCAUCCAGUAGUGCUGAGAUACUGCAUGCAAUGGGUCGACCUAUAGCACCCAAGAUGAGCGGGAUAUCAACUAUGGAUUAUCACACGGCCGACCCCAUCAUUCAAAUGCAGUUGUCUGGGGAUAUGGCCGCCAACAGGGAAGCUCAGAGGAAGGCUACACACAAUGAAGGUGCUGCAAAUUCAAUACUGAAAGUUAUAAUGUACAACAGAUGUACAUGUACUUAUGUGGUCAUAAUCAAAUAGAAGCAUUUCCCACAAAAUACAGUUAACGAAGCUUUAAUAUCAAAUCUGCCACUUCUAAAACUAAUAACAUAUUUGUGUGGAGGCUAUCCAUCCAUGCUGUAAACGUCUUAGUGUGUGUGUCUGUUCAUGUGUGUACUAAAGUACUAUCGAAAGCCAUCGAAAUAUCUACUAACUUGGUUUUUUUUAAGCCUAAAUUUCCUAAUAUUAUUGCUAAGCAUGCAUUAGUGUAGAGCCCAGUGUUAUGUUAGUUACUAGUAUCAUAGAAUCCAGCAGAGUUCAUCGUAUAUAACACAUGUAGUUAGUUGUACAUAAAAUUAAUAAUUUAUGCUAUUUUUUAAUAGCUAAGCAUGUUUUUUUGUUAUCUCCACGUUCAUGUCUCACCCUCACGUCAUGUUUCCUUGACUGCAGUAUGUGUACAGCAAGGGAACGGUACUGGACAAGACAGUCUGGCACCUUCGCAAGCACAACCUAUGCACUUGUCAGCUUCGUCACAAUUCUCUCCCCUCUUACAAUCAUCGUUGCCGACUGGAGCCUCUAAUCCAAACACACCACUCUUAAGCUCACUCGUACAAACUCUAUCCUCCAUUGCGAGCACGACCACUUCUCCGUCCACUCCUGUACCGAAAUCCUCCAUGCUGGCACAAGCCAACAACAAUGGCGGGGGUGGCGGUGGUGGUGGUGGUGGUCUCUCUGCCGCGGCUGCUGCUAGUCUGCUCAACACUCUGAUUCUGGCUCAGAAUGUGCUCACAAGCAACUCAAGUGCUGGUAGCCCCGGGCAAGAUUCAAUGUCUAUGGAAACGGUGGACCAAUCCUCUCAACAGUAGUGUACAGUAUAUUAUAAUUGUGGACUGUUUAUACUGUUCUAGUUUUAACGUGUGUUUUUUAGUAAUCUCUCCUUCACUUACUAUAGCUACAUUGUCAGUAUUAUUAUGUAUACAUAGUUUUUAUACAUGAUAUUUGUGUGGAGCUCUUUGAGAAAAAUAUUGUAGCCAAGCCCAUUUAUAUGUAACCACGCCCAUUAUAAUUAUGUGCAGCCUAGCCUCCAUCUCAAGCCGCACUUCCUAGAAAGUUGGCCUGGUAAUGGACUGCUUGUGCAUGAGCUAACCAUUAGCUGGCAUUGAGAAGAACCUUCAUCAAGAACAAGGUAAGUGUGUAUAAUGUGUAGUUAUGCAGUGCAAUGAGUUGACUGUGUACUAUUGAAUGUACAGUACAAAGAAUGGGAACCUAGCAUGCUUCAGUACUAGUCUGUAUGUACAUGCACUUGUAUACAAGGUAUGCUUCAAUGUAUGCAGUUUAGGUGUGUACAGGGAAACGUGUGUCAAUUGAGAACACUAGCUCACAAUAUUUGUACAUGACAUUGUACAGUACGUGUACCAGACCCUUCAUCACACUACCAGUUUGAAUGUGUCCAUGUGUUGUUUAUCCUGGCUACAGGACACUGCCGAGGGUAGCACUUCAGUGCUCUAGUUCUAAUUGUAGAUUGACUGAUCGAUUUGUCUUCUGUACUAUUGUUUGAUUUUUCCGCCCCUCAUCUUUUCUGGCCCCCAGUUAUGUGGCCAUUUUUCAGCCCGGCCAAGUGUUGAGGAGACAAGAAGAGGCACUGAGAAUGGAGGUAGAGGCGUACUAUGCUGCUAAGAAGGCCACUCAGUGUGACUAUGACCGUGUGACUCUUUAACCCCUCAGUUCCAUUAGGAUAACUGGGGGCCGGAAAAGAUAAGCCUACUAUGCUGCUAAGAAAGAGAGGGGCCUCACGUAAACUGGCCACUCAGUGUGACUAUGAUCAUGUGAAUCUUUAACCCCUCAGUUCCCGAGCCCCACCCCUCACUGUCUGACUCGGAAGAGGAGAUAGACUUUGUAUUCUGGGAGAAGGCUUCCACCCUACCCUCGGACAAGACCCCAACCAAGGACCUGAACUUGUUAUGAGACUGUUAAAUAUUAUUUUGUCUGUUUUUGUACUAUUUUCUGGCCAUGUAAUUAUGU